AGUGGCGGACGGGUGAGUAACGCGUGGGUAACCUGCCUCAUACAGGGGGAUAACAGUUAGAAAUGACUGCUAAUACCGCAUAAGACCACGAGCACCGCAUGGUGCAGGGGUAAAAACUCCGGUGGUAUGAGAUGGACCCGCGUCUGGAUUAGGUAGUUGGUGGGGUAACGGCCUACCAAGCCGACGAUCAGUAGCCGACCUGAGAGGGUGACCGGCCACAUUGGGACUGAGACACGGCCCAA
RNAcentral lists this ribosomal RNA (242 nucleotides) under uncultured bacterium. Its description in RNAcentral is "partial 16S ribosomal RNA". It matches the Rfam family "Bacterial small subunit ribosomal RNA", at positions 94 to 334 of the family's 1533-position model. The record is from RNAcentral.